GAUGAUAUGCACCUUGAAAGUUAAACAUCCUAUGAUAAAAGUUUUGUACAUCUAAAGAAAAAAAAAUAAUGGAAAACCGUAUACAUGUACUUCCGUCCCAUCUUUCCUUCCUACAUUACUUGCGACAGUACUGCAUUUUUAAUUGAAACAACUUAAAGGGUAAACAUUAUUAAAUCAAUUUCCACAACUUGAGGUAAUUUAUGAUAAAAUGACAUCACAAAAUGAUCAGAACCAGAAUCAACCAACA
RNAcentral lists this long non-coding RNA (247 nucleotides) under Mytilus galloprovincialis (Mediterranean mussel). The record is from RNAcentral. Lineage: Eukaryota; Metazoa; Mollusca; Bivalvia; Mytilida; Mytilidae.